GACCGCGUAGCUCAGUUGGAAGAGCAUUGGGCUAGUAUUCGAAAGGUCGUAGGUUCGAAUCCCACCAUGGCCG
RNAcentral lists this transfer RNA (73 nucleotides) under Paramuricea clavata. It matches the Rfam family "tRNA". Rfam says of the family: Transfer RNA (tRNA) molecules are approximately 80 nucleotides in length. Lineage: Eukaryota; Metazoa; Cnidaria; Anthozoa; Malacalcyonacea; Plexauridae. The record is from Rfam by way of RNAcentral.